Molecule: ribosomal RNA, 529 nt
Filed under: uncultured bacterium
Lineage: Bacteria
Description: bacterial SSU rRNA
Rfam family: Bacterial small subunit ribosomal RNA
Source: RNAcentral
AAUAGAUACCCGGGUAGUCCACGCCCUAAACGAUGCAUAUUUGGUGUGGGCCAUUCAUUUGGUCUGUGCCGGAGCUAACGCGUUAAAUAUGCCGCCUGGGGAGUACAGUCGCAAGGCUGAAACUCAAAGGAAUUGACGGGGGCCCGCACAAGCGGUGGAGCAUGUGGUUUAAUUCGACGCAACGCGAAGAACCUUACCUGGGCUCGAAAUGCUUACGACCAUCUUUGGAAACAGAGACUUCCCGCAAGGGACGUGAGUAUAGGUGCUGCAUGGCUGUCGUCAGCUCGUGUCGUGAGAUGUUGGGUUAAGUCCCGCAACGAGCGCAACCCUCGUCUUUAGUUGCUACCAUUUAGUUGGGCACUCUAAAGAAACUGCCGGUGAUAAGCCGGAGGAAGGUGGGGAUGACGUCAAGUCCUCAUGGCCCUUACGCGCUGGGCUACACACGUGCUACAAUGGGCGGCACAAAGGGUUGCGAAGUCGCGAGGCAGAGCUAAUACCCAAAAAACCCGUCCUCAGUACGGAUUGCAGU